This 75-nucleotide transfer RNA is filed under the name Phycisphaerae bacterium. Its description in RNAcentral is "tRNA-Pro". It matches the Rfam family "tRNA". Rfam says of the family: Transfer RNA (tRNA) molecules are approximately 80 nucleotides in length. Their secondary structure includes four short double-helical elements and three loops (D, anti-codon, and T loops). RNAcentral also lists the same sequence under 2 other names. Lineage: Bacteria; Pseudomonadati; Planctomycetota; Phycisphaerae. The record is from RNAcentral.
CGGGGCGUGGCGCAGUCCGGUUAGCGCGCUUGACUGGGGGUCAAGAAGUCGCUGGUUCGAAUCCAGUCGCCCCGA